Molecule: small nucleolar RNA, 107 nt
Organism: Humulus lupulus (European hop)
Lineage: Eukaryota; Viridiplantae; Streptophyta; Magnoliopsida; Rosales; Cannabaceae
Source: RefSeq, a predicted model, not a curated record
AUCCUAUGAUGAGGGCACUUCCUUAAUAGCUCUUUGAAUCUCUCCCAUGCAUCAUACAAUGAUUCCCUCUCCAUCUGACAAAAAUUAUUAAUUUCUCCUUUUAGCUU